AUGACGUUUGAGUUCUGUAGGACAGCUUCCUCUGUUUCCUGUCAGCAUUAUGGAGAAAUGGUGAACCUGGAUUCUUGCCUUUGGGCCGGUCUACAGGCGGACUACCUCACAGAGAAUGCCUCUGACCUUAUGAUUGCGGGGUCCCAGCAAGAAGUCGCACUGUAUUUUUCCCCGUUGCUCCCUGCAGAGUUCAUGUGUUCGGCCUUCUUUCUAAUGAUGGCAAUAAGCAGCUGUUGGCUAUUAUCUGAUGAUGUAAAGUUGGCUGCUGGCUUUUGCACGUAUUCUACUCUUUGGGAUUUGUGAAGGAAGGGGAGUCUCCAGGAACCCAAGGAUGGAUUCCACUCCUAGCUGAGGCUGAGCUGCUUACUGAAAGUAAAUCUUUUAGGUCCUUCAGCACCAGUUACAAGAUU
RNAcentral lists this long non-coding RNA (410 nucleotides) under Coturnix japonica (Japanese quail). RNAcentral's name for it is "lncRNA (ENSCJPG00005010615.1)". The record is from RNAcentral. Lineage: Eukaryota; Metazoa; Chordata; Aves; Galliformes; Phasianidae.